This 468-nucleotide ribosomal RNA is filed under the name uncultured bacterium. RNAcentral's name for it is "partial 16S ribosomal RNA". It matches the Rfam family "Bacterial small subunit ribosomal RNA", at positions 28 to 507 of the family's 1533-position model. The record is from RNAcentral.
GACGAACGCUGGCGGCGUGCUUAACACAUGCAAGUCGAACGGAAAGGCCCUGCUUUUGUGGGGUGCUCGAGUGCCGAACGGGUGAGUAACACGCGUGUAACCUGCCCUUGUCUUUGGGAUAACUUCAGGAAACUGGGGCUAAUACCGGAUAUGAGCUCCUGCUGCAUGGUGGGGGUGGGAAAGUUUCGCCGGUUGGGGAUGGACUCGCGGCUUAUCAGCUUGUUGGUGGGGUAGUGGCUUACCAAGGCUCUGACGGGUAGCCGGACUGAGAGGGUGACCGGCCACAAUGGGACUGAGGUACGGCCCAGAGUCCUACGGGAGGCAGCGGUGGGAAAUAUUGCACAAUGGGCGGAAGGCUGGUACAGCGACGUCGGGUGCGGGAUGACGGCCUGCGGGUUGUAAACCGCUUUAGACUGUGACGAAGCGUGAGUGACGGUAAUGAGUCAAGAAGCACCGGCUAACUACGUG